Molecule: long non-coding RNA, 709 nt
Organism: Oryza sativa Japonica Group (Japanese rice)
Lineage: Eukaryota; Viridiplantae; Streptophyta; Magnoliopsida; Poales; Poaceae
Source: RefSeq, a predicted model, not a curated record
AGCAAACACGGAUCAGUCCAUAAAGGUGGUAAUCAAAAGAAUAAAAUUAAUUAUCUUCUUGAAGCUUGGUGUAUCCUAACUCAAGUGAAUCACAAAAAAGCAAAUCCAUAGACCAAAGAAUGAUUCUUUUACGAACUACAGAUAAUUAUAGUUUCAACUUUCAACACAUUUUGUUCCCAAGUACAUGGGGCUCUUUCCAUAAGUAUUCCAAGAUUCGUGCUCCCCACAUCCGCUGCAUUGGACGGCCCAGAUUGAAGCCUACGGUCCAGCAGGCUCCAGGCAGUUUUUCCCCUUCCCUUUGCUGGCGGCGAUCCCCAGCCAAGUGCUCCAGAUCCUCCUCUGCGCAAGCAUCCGAGAUUGGGUGCGUCGCCGUCACCCGCACCAGCACCGAUUGGUUCCUCGCCAGCGGCGGCACAGCGACGAUCUCGCUUGGGUGGAGUCGGCGACGGCGACGGCGGCCGGCAGGUUGAUGUGAUAGAAAAGGACUAAAGUUUGGAUCUAAACACAGCCCUUGCUUUGGUGGCUAUACAAACAUUACAGGAAGCCGGGAAGUGUUGAAUUAAGCGUGCUGUAAAAUCAAAGGUGUUUUUGAUUAUUAUUCUGUGAUGAACAAUUGGGCAUUGGACAUUAUUGGUUUUGUAUUUGGAAUUAAUCACGAAGUGGUUUUGGAGAUAAUUGGUUUUCACAGGUGAAUCUGCAGGAUUUAUCA